GUGCCAGCAGCCGCGGUAAUACAGAGGGUGCGAGCGUUAAUCGGAUUUACUGGGCGUAAAGCGUGCGUAGGCGGGCUUCUUAAGUCGGAUGUGAAAUCCCUGAGCUUAACUCUCAGGAAUUGCAUUCGAUACUGGGAAGCUAGAGUAUGGGAGAGGAUGGUAGAAUUCCAGGUGUAGCGGUGAAAAUGCGUAGAGAUCUGGAGGAAUACCGAUGGCGAAGGCAGCCAUCUGGCCUAAUACUGACGCUGAGGUACGAAAGCAUGGGGAGCAAACAGGAUUAGAUACCCUGGUAGUCC
RNAcentral lists this ribosomal RNA (296 nucleotides) under uncultured microorganism. RNAcentral describes it as "partial 16S ribosomal RNA". It matches the Rfam family "Bacterial small subunit ribosomal RNA", at positions 505 to 796 of the family's 1533-position model. The record is from RNAcentral.